This 292-nucleotide ribosomal RNA is filed under the name uncultured bacterium. RNAcentral describes it as "partial 16S ribosomal RNA". It matches the Rfam family "Bacterial small subunit ribosomal RNA", at positions 505 to 796 of the family's 1533-position model. The record is from RNAcentral.
GUGCCAGCAGCCGCGGUAAAACGUAGGGGAAGAGCGUUGUCCGGAUUUAUUGGGCGUAAAGAGCGCGCAGGCGGCUUCGCAAGUCGGGUGUGAAAAUCCGGGGCUCAACCCCGGACCUGCAUUCGAUACUGCGUGGCUAGAGGCAGGAAGGGGAGAUCGGAAUUCCUGGUGUAGCGGUGAAAUGCGCAGAUAUCAGGAGGAACACCGGUGGAGAAGGCGGAUCUCUGGGCCUGUCCUGACGCUCAGGCGCGAAAGCUAGGGGAGCGAACAGGAUUAGAUACCCCAGUAGUCC